RNAcentral lists this small nuclear RNA (107 nucleotides) under Octopus vulgaris (common octopus). Lineage: Eukaryota; Metazoa; Mollusca; Cephalopoda; Octopoda; Octopodidae. The record is from RNAcentral. RNAcentral also lists the same sequence under 1 other name.
CUACUUGCUUCAGCAGUACAUAUACUAAAAUUGGAAUGAUACAGAGAAGAUUAGCAUGGCCCCUGCACAAGGAUAACAUGCAAAUUCGUGAAGCAUUCCAUAUUUUU